GGCAUUAGUCACCCUGCUGACAUGCCUGUCUUGUCUGCCUGUCUGUCUCUGGCUUAUAAAUACACCACAACAUCACUGUCAGUACACAGUGGGCGGGAGAGACAGGAAGAGAGGAAGAUGUCACAGGUGAAGGAAAUAAUGACGCAAAGGAUGGGUAGAGAAGAGAGAGACACACCUUAAAGAAUAAUAGUUGGGGGGGAGUUGAAGUUGUAGACAACAAAUAGAUUUGGUGUGGUCUCUACAGUGCAAAAGAAUGGUGAUGGAACAGUUAUUUGUGGCUAUGCUAAUGAUGUCUGCACACCUAGCAGUCUCAUAUCCUCUGACUACAGAGAGCUAUUACAUGGAUGGAGGGAGACAAUGCAGACUGUGUCCACCAGGUCAUUAUCAGAAGUCCUGUUCAGAGUGCUCUCCCUGUCGAGAUGGUUCCUACACAACACGAUUGAAUGCAGAGUCCAGUUGUCAUUCCUGUUUCAAAGACUGCAAACGUGAUUUGCACCUGGUGGAGGAUGAGCCGUGUACUACUGUAUCGAACGCUAGAUGUCGCUGUGAGGCUGGUUUUACCUGCACCGACAAAGACGACCAGACAGGAAACUGUAGAGACUGUGAGAAGAUCCCUCAGCUGCCCCCACCUCCCCUGCCACCUAGCAAUGUAGUGGGCAUCAGAAACAACCAGACAGGAACUUCCUCUGAACACAGCAGGACUUCCUCUCCCAGUGGACGCUGUCAACCUCCCAACUGUGACACUCCACGAUCACCAGUCUCACAAGCAGGCAAUGCCACUCAUCACACCACAGCUGACACCAGCAAACACUUGGCAGCCAUUUUGUGUCCUAUGGUGGUCAUUGGAAUCCUAGCCGUUAUCAUUCUGUUAUGUAUCCGUCGCCCAGGAGAUGAAGCCUGUUUCAAACAAGCUCUCAAGUUCUGUAACAAGGGAGUAAGAGAAGCGUCGCCUAACAAGACCAAAGAGCCAACUCCUCAGCACCGUGCCAGAGAGACACAGCCCAGUAUUAAGCACCAGGCAGUGGAUCCACCACCUAUUACAGCAGCAAAUAUGGGCCCAGUCCAUGUCCACAAUGCUGGAACAGUCAUCUUCAGUUUACUCAACCAGUUCACUGGUAUGGGUGGAGGGACGGAAGAGAGAGGGCAGAAAGAGAGGGAUGAGGAAGGAUGUCCGGCCCACCCCACACCCUCCCCUAACAUCCAUCUAUCCCAGGAGGAAAGGGAUGGGGAGAUGGACUGUGUAUUCUUCCCUUCACAGGAACAAGGGAAGGACAGUCAUGUUUCCAAGGAGGAGGUGCAAUGAGGGGAGGGGGAUUGAGGACAGAGGACGCACCAAGUGAAAGCUUCCCUUCUAGGAUCAGUUUAGCCAACCCUACAUCCUAAUGUUAAUCAUAAGGAGGAUUACAACUUACCACUGACCCGGAUCAGUGGUAAGGGACAACAUCUACCUGGGGCUCUAUUCAGUCUGUAUCACUACAGAUUGCAUGAUAGAAACAUAGAGGUCAUUUCUGAUUGUGUUUAAUGUGUUUAAUAUGUGUUUAAUGUGAAAGCAGUUGACACAGGAACAUUGCCUUUACAUUUCUUUCAGGCUGUAAAGCUGAACUUCCACAAUACAGAUUGAAUAGAGCCUUUUUUUUUUUUAACUAGGCAAGUCAGUUAAGAACAAGUUCUUAUUUUCAAUGACAGCCUAGGAACAGUGGGUUAACUGCCUUGUUCAGGGGUAGAACGACAGAUUUUUACCUUGUCAGCUCAGGGAUUCGAUCUUGCAACCUUGUGGUUACUAGUCCAACACGCUAACCACUAGGCUACCUGCCACUCUUACUCUCAGAACACUGGUGAAUCCCAAAACUCUAGAAUGGCCAUUAUUUCCUGUCCUAGACCUAGACAGAUCUAGACAUCUUACUAUGGUGGUCAUGUACACAUCCACUUGCUCUCCUUUUAUUGAACUGUGUAAAAAGCUUUCAGUCUCAACUGCUGCAAACUGUUUUUUUCUGUUUUCAUGUGGCACCUUGAACUGUUUUUGCACAAAUUAAAAGCAAAAUAUGAAAUAUAAUUUUUCAAUGAAUACAGGUGAUGGGGCGAUUGUAUGACAUUACAGUAGGCCUGUAACAUUUGUUCUUUAUUUUAAAUACAGCGCUGUGUGUUUUAAACAGCCACUACUAUGUAAGAGUAAACACUAGCAUAAAGCAUAGAUACAGCAAAAAGCAUAAUAAUUGUAAUGAAGGUGUAAAACAUCUUCAACAUAAACAUGUACAGUACAUGUAUUCAGCACACAAAUGUCUGUCUGUCUGUCUGUCUCGCGUGCGUGUGUCUGUCUCUCUCGUUCACACUCUUCCAGUUACCCUCCGCUCUUUCUCGGUCACAGACUCCCACUCAUCUUUAGCCUGUGUCUUCAUACUUCAAAGUGUCUUUUUGUCCUAUUUUCUUGUCCUUUCUGAAAGUUCUAGAUACAGAAGCCACUGCAUUAAAACAAUACAGCAGCCUGUCUAGCCUUCAGGUUAGUUUAACUUCAAUGGGAAUGUGAGGUAGUCUGUUUGUCUCCCGGGUCUCCCAGCUCGCUGUCCCAUUGUGAGUUCUCAUCCUCUCCUUUGACACCGACUUCCUCCAUCAUACGUCCAGUAGCAGCUCUGGCUUUCCACACACUUCCUGGACCGGCAUGGGCACUUCCUCCUCCGCUGUGCUCUGAUUGGCUGGAGUUGUCUUUUUGGGAGACCAGAAGC
This 2720-nucleotide long non-coding RNA is filed under the name Salmo salar (Atlantic salmon). Its description in RNAcentral is "lncRNA (ENSSSAG00000107389.1)". Lineage: Eukaryota; Metazoa; Chordata; Actinopteri; Salmoniformes; Salmonidae. The record is from RNAcentral.